Long non-coding RNA from Arachis duranensis, 1093 nucleotides. RefSeq lists it as uncharacterized. The record is from RefSeq and is a predicted model, not a curated record. The transcript is spliced from 4 exons. NCBI's taxonomy places the organism in Eukaryota, Viridiplantae, Streptophyta, Magnoliopsida, Fabales, Fabaceae.
UCGUCAAAGAACCAAACCACAUUAUAGAACAAUAAGCGUUCCUAGAACCUCCUUACUAUAAAAAGCAGACGCCAUGACAGAAGUAACCCCAUCAUAUCAUAAUUCAUAUUCAUAGUUUCAGAUACACAAUUAAAUUGACUCCAAAAAAAUAAGUACGAACAACCAUCUAAACCAUAGUUUGAUCCUAACCGUGUUGCUACUCAUAGCAUUUGCAACGAAGACUGAGCAAUCAAAAUAGAUUCCAACACUGUAUGUCUUCGGUGAUUCAUUUGUUGACUGUAGUAACAACCACAAUGUUGAUUUCUUUCCUUAUGGCAUAGAUUUCGGCACACCCACUGGUCGCUGCACUAAUGGCAAAACUGUUGCUGAUUUCCUUGCUAUAUACCUUGGUCUGCCUUUUGCCCCUGCGUACUUGGGACUUUCAGAGUCAUAACUACAGGCAUAAAUUACGCAUCGGCGGGUUCUGGAAUUUUGCCAGACACCAAUAAUGAAAUUUCAUUUAUAAUGGACGAACAAAUAAGGGGAUUCGAGAGGACAGUUAAGGAGAUUCUGCCAAAGGGGUUAGGUGAAGAAGCAGCGGAGAAGCAUGUAUCUGAAUCCUUGUUUUUCUUAUCUUCGGGUGUGAAUGAUCACUUCAAAAACAAUACAUUUCGUGGUAGUAGGAAAUUUGCUUCCUACCUCAUAAAUGAAUUCAAAAUACGCUUGCAGGGAUCGUAGAAGCAAUCAAACCAUGCAUGUUGCCCUCGAAGCAUCAAUGGUGAUCUGUUAUGCCAUCCGAAUUGUGAUUUUUGUGCAAACAGAAACACAUAUCUUUUCUUUGAUGACCGCCCAACCGAGAGAGCCAACCAAAUAUAUGCAAUAAAGUGCUUCGUCAUUGACCAUGCUAUCUGCACUCCUCGCAUAAACAUCAGACACUUUCUAUAACUCUUAUUUUCUUAAAUAAAUCAGGUACCUCUAAGCUAGCGUCUAAGCUCUGAAUCAAUCUUACGAUGCUAGUGUUUUGAAUCUGGGUUAUUAAAUUCGAUGGACGUUUAAUAUCUAGAAAGAGUGACUUUGUUUAUUGUACUUGAUGCAACUUAUUAAUAAUAAUAAU